Molecule: ribosomal RNA, 254 nt
Filed under: uncultured bacterium
Lineage: Bacteria
Description: partial 16S ribosomal RNA
Rfam family: Bacterial small subunit ribosomal RNA
Source: RNAcentral
UACAGAGGAGCCAAGCGUUGUCCGGAUUGACUGGGCGUAAAGCGCACGCAGGCGGUGGUGCGCGUGGGGUGUGAAAUCUGGCCGCUUAACGGCCAGGCGCCAUCCCAUACGGCACGACUGGAGGGCUGCAGAGGUCGAUGGAAUUGCCGGUGUAGUGGUGAAAUGCGUAGAGAUCGGCAGGAACACCCAGGGGGAAACCAGUCGACUGGGCAGCACCUGACGCUGAGGUGCGAGAGCGUGGGGAACGGAACCGG